Molecule: small nucleolar RNA, 66 nt
Organism: Jaculus jaculus (lesser Egyptian jerboa)
Lineage: Eukaryota; Metazoa; Chordata; Mammalia; Rodentia; Dipodidae
Gene: SNORD58
Rfam family: Small nucleolar RNA SNORD58
About the family: snoRNA U58 is found in introns 1, 3 and 6 of the ribosomal protein RPL17 gene in humans. U58 is a member of the C/D class of snoRNA which contain C (UGAUGA) and D (CUGA) box motifs.
Source: Ensembl
UUGCUAUGAUGCCAAUCUUAGGACACCUUUGGAAUCACCAUGAAAUAAACGCACAUUCUGAGCAAC